GACGAACCGUCCUAACGUUGUUCGGAAUCACUGGGCUUAAAGGGCGCGUAGGCGGGUGACCAAGUCCGGGGUGAAAUCUUUCGGCUUAACCGGAAAACAGCCUUGGAUACUGGUCAUCUCGAGGGAGGUAGGGGUCUGCGGAACUUCUGGUGGAGCGGUGAAAUGCGUUGAUAUCAGAAGGAACGCCGGUGGCGAAAGCGGCGGACUGGACCUUCACUGACGCUGAGGCGCGAAAGCUAGGGGAGCAAACGGG
RNAcentral lists this ribosomal RNA (253 nucleotides) under uncultured bacterium. RNAcentral describes it as "partial 16S ribosomal RNA". It matches the Rfam family "Bacterial small subunit ribosomal RNA", at positions 524 to 776 of the family's 1533-position model. The record is from RNAcentral.